RNAcentral lists this ribosomal RNA (464 nucleotides) under Lachnospiraceae bacterium canine oral taxon 073. Its description in RNAcentral is "bacterial SSU rRNA". It matches the Rfam family "Bacterial small subunit ribosomal RNA", at positions 9 to 456 of the family's 1533-position model. The record is from RNAcentral. Lineage: Bacteria; Bacillati; Bacillota; Clostridia; Lachnospirales; Lachnospiraceae.
GAGUUUGAUCCUGGCUCAGGAUGAACGCUGGCGGCAUGCCUAACACAUGCAAGUUGAACGAGAAGUUCUGGAGGGAGUCUUCGGACGAACGAAGGAAUGGAAAGUAGCGAACGGGUGAGUAACGCGUGGGCAACCAACCUUACACAGGGGGAUAACGCAGAGAAAUUUGCGCUAAUACCGCAUAAGCGCACAGUACCGCAUGGUACGGUGUGAAAAACUCCGGUGGUGUAAGACGGGCCCGCGUCUGAUUAGUUAGUUGGUGAGGUAAAAGCUCACCAAGGCGACGAUCAGUAGCCGACCUGAGAGGGUGAUCGGCCACAUUGGGACUGAGACACGGCCCAAACUCCUACGGGAGGCAGCAGUGGGGGAUAUUGCACAAUGGAGGAAACUCUGAUGCAGCAAUGCCGCGUGAAGGAAGACGGUUUUCGGAUUGUAAACUUCUAUCAGCAGGGAAGAAAAUGACG